AGUGCAAGCUGACUUGUCGCUGUUCCGGUUUAAUCUGGGAGAGAGGAAAGUCCGGGCAACAAAGAGCACCAUACUUCCUAACGGGAAGGGGUCUUGAUGGUGACGGCAAGAUCACAGACAGUGCCACAGAAAAAAUACCGCCCUGUACCGAUAGCUAUCGGCCCGGGGUAAGGGUGAAAAGGUGGGGUAAGAGCCCACCGCUCCGACAGUGAUGAAGGGGGCACGGUAAACCUUAUGGGUUGAAAGAUCAAAUAGGUUCCGCCUUGGGUUAAACCCAAAAAGGGCUGCUCGUCCUUAUGCGGAAUGGGUAGAUCGAUAGAGCCCUGAUGUGAAUCAGGGCCUAGAUAAAUGACAGGUAAGCUGCCCAAAAAGCAGUGAACAGAACCCGGCUUAUAGGCUUGCACUUUUU
This 409-nucleotide RNase P RNA is filed under the name Cecembia rubra. RNAcentral describes it as "Bacterial RNase P class A". It matches the Rfam family "Bacterial RNase P class A". From Rfam's summary of the family: Ribonuclease P (RNase P) is a ubiquitous endoribonuclease, found in archaea, bacteria and eukarya as well as chloroplasts and mitochondria. Its best characterised activity is the generation of mature 5'-ends of tRNAs by cleaving the 5'-leader elements of precursor-tRNAs. Lineage: Bacteria; Pseudomonadati; Bacteroidota; Cytophagia; Cytophagales; Cyclobacteriaceae. The record is from RNAcentral.